This 6839-nucleotide long non-coding RNA is filed under the name Homo sapiens (human). RNAcentral describes it as "HSALNT0097760". The record is from RNAcentral. Lineage: Eukaryota; Metazoa; Chordata; Mammalia; Primates; Hominidae.
CCCAGAUCCACCACUUUUAUAGCAAACAAUAAGCAAGCCUAAUCUUUAUUCUGGAAGGAGACAUUACUUGCUCUGCAAAGUUGCUCACUGCAAACACAAUCGUGAUAUGGGCCUGGGAAGGAGUAAUCAGGUCUUCCAUUCUUGGCACACCAAGCAAGAAUGUGCAGGUGUUCUUGGGCCUAUAGCAAUUUGCCUCUUCAGGAGCCAUUUCUCCAUUGACUCUUGGUUUAUUUUAGUGGAGGAUGGUAUUUAGAAACCAAGAUCUACUUGCUAAGCUGCUCAUUCUAUUGAGUUGUUGCUUCUAGAUGCACUUGGUGGACAGAGCUAGGGAAUACAUGUAUACACACACACACGCACACACACGCACACGCACACACGCACACACGCACACGCACACACGCACACACGCACAUUCUAAUCUCUAUGCAUCUAAUCAUCUCUCUUUUUCUCUGUCUUCAUGAAUUCACACUGAUUUCUUCAAGCCAAUACAACAAGUUCAUCCUAGUUUUCUGCCUUUUCGUAUUUGUAACACUUCUUGGACAGUAAGAAACCCAGAACAUAUUUACUAAUUUGCUUAAUGCUCCUGCAAGUAACCAAUCUGUUAUUACUGCCACUGCUACCUAUUCUACGGUCGUGUGAAUUACCUCCUGACCCACUCGUGCUCUGACCUGACGUGCUGGGAUGCAUCUCUCUUCCUCCUAUAUGGAUGCCCUCCUCCCCUCAGUGUGGCUCCAACACCUUGUGCUGGUCCACUGCAGCUGCCACUACUCAUGGAGACACUCUCCUCACCCACUCAGACUCUGAAUCCCCAUGCUAGGCUGUCACCAACACUGCCUCCCUUCAUGAGUCCCCUUCUUACCCUACCUGGUGAGACACCUUGGGCCAGGCUAUCCUUGCCACAUCCACCACUCUGUGUAGACACGCUCCUUACCUGUCUCAGGUUCUAGAACUCCCAUCUUCACCUUCUGCAGACUCCUACCUUGCUCAGCCACACAUGAUGGCUUUUAGACUCAAUCAGGAAGGGAAAAAAAGGAGAAAGAACACAAAUGAUCAAUUUUAACAGCUGUAAAACACUGCGUGAUGUGGAUGUAACCACCUAGUUACACCACCUCCAUGUUUGCUUAACCGCUUCCCAGCUGUAUUAAGUAGAGUUAUUUAUGUUUUUUCCUUUUCUAGUUACCAUUCCAGGAAUCAAACUAUAAACAUAAAUCUUUGUGCAUCUCUCUGUACACCUCCCUGAUGACUUUAUUAGGACAGAUUCCUAGAAGGGGAAUACUUUCUGGGUCAGAGGGUCUGGAUGUUUUGAAAGCUCCUGGUCUUUGUAGCACAGCUUCAGUGUUCAUCUUACGAUUCAUGCAACCUUAAAUAAAUAAACAAGUGUGACUGUGUCCCCGAGGCUGCUUGGGAUUUUCUACAGAUGAUACUUGUUUCACCGCUGAAUGACAUCACCUCCCUUUUUACACCAAGAUUGAUGUGGGAAAUUCUGUAUAAAUACCCUGCAUCAACAAGCCAUUGUGUCACCAGGCCUCUUAAAGAUGGGCAGCCCACUGCAGUGUGUUGGCCCAGCCUGUGCGGGACAGGCGCCCAUGAUUUAUAAGGUCCAAGCAUGAAGUCUUCAGGAAAGUUGGUGAAGUACUUUAUAGGUCACCUGUAUUUUUCCUACCAUAGAUGUUUUGACUCACGGGUUUCCUUUAUGUCACUCUGUCCAUAGUCUAGGUAUUAUUAAAAUGGAAUAAAGAAGUUACUGUAGCAGAGGCUGAGUAGCUCGGGGGAGGGAGUUUAAGAUUCUAAAUAGGAGAAGAAAGAAGUAACAGGAGAGGGUAUUAAUUAAUUAGGACAAAUAUUGGCAGCCAAGCAACUUAGUAUUUGCUGCAUGAGGACCACUGGCCCAGCUUUGUGCUAGAAGCUGUGGGGGAGUUCACUUGUUCAUUCAUUGAACAGACUGACUGGUCACCUACUGUAUGUCAGGCACUAUCCUAGGUGCUGGGGACCCAAGAGAAAAUAGACAUUGUCCCUUAAGGAGCUCAGAGUCUAGAAGAGGAGAAACCAAGUCUAUUGUGGAAUAUCUGCUGGAGUUCUUGAUCCAGCUUACAGAAGUUUCUGGCAAGGUUCUAAGCAGGAUGCUUGAAGUAGAAAAAUGUGUCUAUUAGGUGGCUGUGGUGGGGGAAGGUCUUUUAAGUGAGACAGAACAGCUUGAGCAAAGGCAUACGUUUCCCUGAAUUCACCAGGAAGGAUUUAGUGUGUCUGUUCCACAUGUCCAACACCGUGCCAGGGACUGCAGAGAGGGUGAAUUUCAUUCCCCAUAUUUUAGCUCGGAAGGUUGUGAGAGGACUGUCUGCAAAAAGUUAUUAAAUGAUUUUCUUCCACUUCCAGGAUAAAUUCCAAAUAUCUUACCCAAGCACCCAAGGCUGACUCAGUCAGCAUUUUCUGUGUGACAAAUAACCACACAACAUCAGUGGCAUGUCCACCUUGAUAAGCAUUCAUUGCUCUUGCUCAUGCAUGCGUGGUUGGUGAGGAUGUGGCUGAUCUUGGCUGGGCUCGCCUGGGCUGGUCUCUGGGUGUGUGUUGAGUCCCAGGCCUACCCCAUGUGUCUCUCAACCUUUCUAGGUCAGUGAUGGCCUAAAGGAUGUUCUUGUCAUGGCAAAAGGCAAGAGUAGAAGAGGUCAGUUCUAACCUUAGAAGCACAUUUCAAGCUUUUUGUUCCCCUCCUGUCUGCUAGUGUCCGUAGGUCAAAGCAAGUCACACAGUUGUGCCCAAAGUCAAGGUGAAGAGAGUGCACUCUGAGGGUCAUGGCAAGGGUCAAGGAGUUGUAUAAUAGGUCCCCUGCAAUCUGGACGGUGCAGAGCUUACCUGCCUCUGAAGGUAAGCCUCACCUCUUUCUUCUUCUCUUUUGGUACUUCUGCUAUAGCCAUGCGUGUUCCCUGGACAUGCUACAUAUUGUGCACAUGCUAUUCCACAGACCUAGGAUGCUCCUCCCUGUCUCAUACAUUUGGUCAACCCUAUCGCAUCAUUCCUGACUAAGCAAGGCCUGGCUCAAAAGAUCAGGGAGGACAUCCUUAUUUGUCUUUCUUUUCCUCUCCAUAGGUAUGGGUGGAUCAUGGGGAUUCAGGGCCCCUCUUGGUACUUGGUUCUCUCUUUGGGUAUUCUCUCUUUCUCUCCUCUCACCUCUCUCUUUCUCUCUCUGUCUCUCUCUUGCUUUUGUUCUCAGCCUGCAUUGGCAUGAUCAUUUAAAGAUGAACAUCUGGCAUAGAGAGUUGGCCUUACUUUGGCCCUGAACCCUCACUAGGAUGCUCUGCAGGGUAGAAGGCUCACCUGGGCAGCUGUUCAUGGAGCAGCUCCUCUGGUUUCUCUUCCACCCUUGCUCUUCAGGUUCUCUGUGUGGGGAGGGUGGUGGUGACAGUAAAAGGCAGGAUCCAGGCAUUCCUGGGUCCUUGUGGUGACACCAUCAAAUAGUUCCCACUCUACCCAUCCUCAAACUCAGGUACAGAGCAGGUUGUACAGAGUGGCUGUGAAUGAAUGAAAGGGUGAGUGAAUUAUGUAUAUAUUUCCUCCAUGCUGCUUUCCGCUCAUCUUCAGGACUUUGGGUGAGCCUUGAAGUUGAGCUUCCAAAGGUAGAAGGAAUGAAGGAGCAAUGACAAGACCCAGACCUGCUCAUCUUAAUCAACUUUUAAGGUUGCCAUCGCCAGCAGCAGCAGAAAGCAACUCCGAGAAGCAGGCAUGUUGCUUGCAAAGCAGACUUUGGGGUGGAGACUUAGCUUAAAGCAUCCUAUUUAUAGAGGUUCUAGAAAGUUAUGGAGCUCUGGGGAGCCAGCCUGGGGCCACUCAUAGCCCACUUAGUGCCAGUGUUGUCUUUAGGGGCCUCCAAUUCCCUUUAUAAAGAGCUUUUUUAUAUUUUUUAAACGGAGCCUGGAUACUGUUAACGUGAAUGUUGAACAGGUCAAGCAGUUCCAGCUAUUAUUGAUAAUAAAAAGAGAGAUUCUGCAAAUGUAACAGUCAACCCAGUGCCCCAGUAGGCAGCAUUAUUCUUGGUCUAAGUUGUGGGUUGUUCUUGCAAUUUAAUAAAGAAGAAAACUGAGGUUGGGAGAGGUGAAGUGAUCUCUCAUGGGUAGAAAGUUGCCACGGCAGGCUAGUUUCAGGUUGGCCUGGGGAGUGCUGAUUGUCUUUUGCAGAGGUGUCGUGGUGUUGUAGAAGACCUAGGGGUCAGCUCAGGGCCAUGAAGGAAGCAAAUUUCAGGUCUGAGGACUGAGGAACCAGCUCUAGAAGGCAGAGGCUGUAAGGAUUUGACAUUUGCAUAGGAGGUGGGGCGGGGUCAAAGUCCAGCAUCAAGGCUGCAAAAAACGAGUAGGUAUCAGAGACCAGUUUUAAGGUGGGGCCAGGGGCAGGUGUGUGAGCCUAAAGUGGAAAAGGGUGGCCAGACCCUGACCUGUUUGGCCUCCUCUAUCCCCAGGCACCCGCUUUUUGUUGCAAUUACAAUGCUCCCCUGAGGCUGCUCCACAGAAAAAAAGUGCUCCUUAGAGCAAAGUUUGGCAAUCAAUGAGUUCAAGGAGUGGGCAGCCCCUGGCCCCUCCCACUAAAACAUUAGUUGUCAAGAAGCUGCAUCUACCCUGGACUAACCAAAACUGGUCAGAUUUACCUGUCUACCUGCACGAGAACAGACAGCGGUGGGCACUUGUGGAAGGAUCAGAGCUGAUACAUGAUUAGGGAGGAUGCAGCAUUGGAUGGUGUCAUGCACAUUUGCUGCUGUAGGUCCAGCAGCUACUCCUUUAUCUUGGUAUCAGCACCCCAGUUUUCAUGUGGGUGCUGUCCCCCAUGUAGCCCUUGUGUUUCCAAGGGAAGCAGGCCCAAAUCCCAGCUCCAGAAGGUGGCCCUGGUUGGCCUAAGCUUGUGCUUACAGCUCAAUGCCCUGGCAUCAGCGAUUGGCAGGUGUCUCAGGGAAGCAUUUGCUGGGAAGUUCUGAAAAGGAAGCUUUUUCGGUUGUUCUUUCACAGAAACUAUCUUCACAGAGCUGCCCUCUUUUCCACUGGACUAGGAAGCCCUCAUGGCUGCUGGCAGCCAUCUUGUGGCCAAGAGGGAGGGCAGGCAGAUGCAGGAGGCAGAGUGGAGAAAUGGAAGGGAAUGAAGUUCUUGGAGACUCUGCAGAGCUGCUAACAAAGUUUUGCUGAAGCCUAUCCCUCCUCUGGACUUCUCAGUCACAGGAGUUAAUACGUUAACACAGUCAUUUGGUGUGAUUGAGGAAUGCACUGUUCCUGAGUGAUUUAGAGAGCUUCUACCUCCUCUAUGUUCUCUUUGGAAGCAUUUUCAGGCCAUCUUGCAGAUGCAGUCUCUGAGUUAUGCCCCUGCCCUGGGCUCAGGGGACAUGUUGAGGAGGUCAUGGAUCCCUGCAUGCCUGCUGAGGACCAGCCCCUCCCCUACACCAUUCUUCUCCCCUGCUCUGGUCCAUAUAUCAGACCAGCCUAGCAACCAUGAUGACAGCAAAAUCUCAGAAACUGGGGUGGGGGACAUGCUUUUCAAUAUUUUUCUUUUCAAUAAAAUAUUGUCUUGAUUUCCUUUCUUGAGACCUCUCUACCCAUGUUGGAUGAGGUCAGCCAUAAGACGGAAGCCUCAGGGGCUGUAAGAAUGGACUCCUCAACUGAAAUUUGGACAGAAUGCUCUCUCUGGUGCUUCCCAACUCUGACAAGCUCUGGUUCUGUGAAAGUUGAUCCAAUGAUGGUAAAGGGACUCCAGGAGCGUCUGCUGGGUGCCAGGCACCUCCUAGCCACUCUGUCCUUUGCAGAAGUGGAAACUGAGGCUGUGGAUAGCUCAAGGCUACAAGGAGGCAGAGUUAGGAUUUGAAUUUAGCUCCUUUUGACACUAAGACCAUUACAUUCCAUGACUACACGUGCUGUGCCCUUGCUUUGGGACACCUUUUUUUUUUUUUUUUAUAAAGAUGGUUACUCCGCUUUGGAAAAGGUCAAUGGAGGGACACACUGCAGCCUGGGGAAAUUUUUUUUGGAGCUGUUGUCUCACAGGAUUUUUUUUCUUUUCAUGAACUUAGUUCAGCCAAGGGUGCUUUGAGAGGCCAAUUUUCAGUCUCGCCCCCCAUUGAAACUCAGAAGAACAUGAACCAGGGCCAGCGAGCUUGCUGGGUGAACUUGGAAACAGUGGCAAUUGGUCAGAGUUGGCCUGUCUCUAGCUCCCUGUGUACUAGUGGAGGGAUGUUUGUUGUUUCAGUGGCCACCGAGCAGAACUCAGGGAGAGGGUGUGGAGCCCUCAGAGGCCAGGCAGGCUGAGAGGAUGGCAUGUGUGCACACCACAAACCAGCUUCCAAACAUAGCCACAGUUCAGGGGAAAAAACCCCAACCUGACUUCAUAAGCUCUCCUGAUGGAUAUAUAAAUCCUCUUGAGGAAACGCUGGGUUAUUAUUGAAUGUUCACUGUGUUUCCUGGAUGGAGUUUGGAAGAGAGUAGACAACUCAACUUUUGUUCGGCAGGAACUUGGAAGACAGGGGAUGGGGCUCUGUAACCCACCUACACAUACAUCUUUCAGCAUGGAGCGUCUGUUCAAUAUGCCCUCACCUAGAGCCCGGUCCUGCGUGAAUAUGCUCAUGCACUGAGACCUCGGGCAAACCUGGGGGCUGAGGAGCCUUAUCCAGAUUGCACAGGUGAGGCCAUGGGUCCCAUGCCGGUGAAGAGACUCACAUCAGCUCGUACAAUCUGAUGGUGCUGGAGUUAGGAUUUGGAUCUCAAACUGGUUCUCUCCAAAAGUCAUCUCUUAACCACUCAGUUUAAUUGCCUCAUCACAUAAAAUUACCUCACCUGGAAGAAAUGCCCUGUUCAGGGACAGAAAAUAAUCCAUUGAUC